RNAcentral lists this ribosomal RNA (515 nucleotides) under uncultured soil bacterium. RNAcentral describes it as "bacterial SSU rRNA". It matches the Rfam family "Bacterial small subunit ribosomal RNA", at positions 30 to 526 of the family's 1533-position model. The record is from RNAcentral.
ANAGNNGNCCUGGCUCNNAUUGAACGCUGGCGGCAUGCCUUACACAUGCAAGUCGAACGGUAGAGGGGCAACCCUUGAGAGUGGCGAACGGGUGAGUAAUAUAUCGGAACGUGCCCAGUCGUGGGGGAUAACGCAGCGAAAGCUGCGCUAAUACCGCAUACGAUCUAAGGAUGAAAGCGGGGGAUCGCAAGACCUCGCGCGAUUGGAGCGGCCGAUAUCAGAUUAGGUAGUUGGUGGGGUAAAAGCCCACCAAGCCGACGAUCUGUAGCUGGUCUGAGAGGACGACCAGCCACACUGGGACUGAGACACGGCCCAGACUCCUACGGGAGGCAGCAGUGGGGAAUUUUGGACAAUGGGCGCAAGCCUGAUCCAGCAAUGCCGCGUGCAGGACGAAGGCCUUCGGGUUGUAAACUGCUUUUGUACGGAGCGAAACGGUCUGGGUUAAUACCCUGGGCUAAUGACGGUACCGUAAGAAUAAGCACCGGCUAACUACGUGCCAGCAGCCGCGGUAAUAC